RNAcentral lists this transfer RNA (64 nucleotides) under Wadicosa fidelis. RNAcentral's name for it is "tRNA-Leu". The record is from RNAcentral. Lineage: Eukaryota; Metazoa; Arthropoda; Arachnida; Araneae; Lycosidae.
AUCUAAUUGGCAGAACAAGUGCAUUAAGUUUAAGCCUUAAAUAUAAUACUUAUAUCAUUAUAUC